GGGUGAGUAACGCGUGGGUAACCUGCCUCAUACACAUGGAUAACAUACCGAAAGGUAUGCUAAUACAAGAUGAUAUAAGAGAUUCGCAUGGAUUUCUUAUCAAAGCUCCGGCGGUAUGAGAUGGACCCGCGUCUGAUUAGCUAGUUGGUAAGGUAACGGCUUACCAAGGCGACGAUCAGUAGCCGACCUGAGAGGGUGAUCGGCCACAUUGGAACUGAGACACGGUCCAAACUCCUACGGGAGGCAGCAGUGGGGAAUAUUGCACAAUGGGCGAAAGCCUGAUGCAGCAACGCCGCGUGAGUGAUGAAGGCCUUCGGGUCGUAAAACUCUGUCCUCAAGGAAGAUAAUGACGGUACUUGAGGAGGAAGCCCCGGCUAACUACGUGCCAGCAGCCGCGGUAAUACGUAGGGGGCUAGCGUUAUCCGGAUUUACUGGGCGUAAAGGGUGCGUAGGUGGUCUCUUAAGUCAGGAGUGAAAGGCUACGGCUUAACCGUAGUAAGCUCUUGAAACUGGGAGACUUGAGUGCAGGAGAGGAAAGUGGAAUUCCUAGUGUAGCGGUGAAAUGCGUAGAUAUUAGGAGGAACACCAGUAGCGAAGGCGGCUUUCUGGACUGUAACUGACACUGAGGCACGAAAGCGUGGGGAGCAAACAGGAUUAGAUACCCUGGUAGUCCACGCCGUAAACGAUGAGUACUAGGUGUCGGGGGUUACCCCCCUCGGUGCCGCAGCUAACGCAUUAAGUACUUCCGCCUGGGGAGUACGCUCGCAAGAGUGAAACUCAAAGGAAUUGAC
This 791-nucleotide ribosomal RNA is filed under the name uncultured bacterium. RNAcentral describes it as "bacterial SSU rRNA". It matches the Rfam family "Bacterial small subunit ribosomal RNA", at positions 104 to 914 of the family's 1533-position model. The record is from RNAcentral.